AGUGGCACACGUCUGUAGUUCCGGCUACUCAGGAAGCUGAGGUGGGAGGAUCACUUGAGCUCAGGAGUUUGAGGCCAACCUGGGCAACAUAGUGAGACCCCAUCUCACAAAUAAAUAAAUAAGUAAAAUUUAUUUAAAGAGAGACAGAGAGAGCAAUCUAGCACACAAGGAGUCAUUCCCCUUCAGGGACAGGCUGACUUGCACGACCUUGAAAGUGAGCACCUCCUUAACCGUCCCGAAGUUCAUCACGGCCCAUGGCAUCCUUACUGUACCUGCCUCCCUAUAUGAACUAUAAAUUGGGCCAUGUGCAUUUUUGUAUCUACUGGGGAUAGAACUAAGUUUGCACAUAGAAAACUCACAAGGAAUAUUAGUUUGCUUUGGAACAUAUUUUUAAAAUAAAUAAAUGCAUGGCCACAGUCCAGCACAUCCCCUAGGAACCAAGCUCUUCAGACUCUCUCAUCCUUGGCUUCCAUCUCUGUCUUGUCAAGCUGAAGUUUGUUCGGGAUUCACGUUCCCUGAAGGCUUCCAAGCAGAUAACGUGGCUACUACAGGCAUGUGGAGAAUUUCUCAGAGUAUUUCUACAGCAACGAACAGGCAUGAAGAACUGCUGAAACAUGGGGUUCAGAAGCAGGAAGUCAGCAGUUGGUCACUUAAGAGCACUACCCGCUCCUUGGUUUGAAGAUCUUCCUGAUUUUGAAUACAAACAUCUGAUAUUCCAGCUUUAGACUCCUCCACAAGAACUAGACUGUCAUCCUAUUUUGGCUUCCAGCUCAAUCCCUCUGCUACAAGUCCUGACUCCAGAGCUCUGUGGGAUAAUAAAAUACAAGAUCAUAGCUUGAAAAUAGAGUGUGCAUCUGGUGUGGAUUGUUGUUUUGGCUUAAUUAGGACUUGCUGUUUCCUGAAUUCCUAUAAUCUCAUUUGAUGAAUUGUGUUGGUUACUUGCUCUGCAGGCUUUGAGUAUGUGGCACAUUUCAGAGGAAAUGAUUUCCCCUUUCUUCUUUGAAAAUCAUAUUCUGGUGCAUUAAAAAAAGAAACCAAAUGUGUUUGGAUUUCUUUAGCUGUCCCUAGAAUUACCAAUGCUGUGAUAGACAUUUGCUUCUCUGGAGGAAGAAGUGCUUGGGUCCAGUGCAUUCAGCAGCACGUUCUAUUCAACAGGUUCAAAUGUGCACCUACGUGUGCAAGGCACAGUGGAAGUUACAGGGAUGAGUAAAACAUUCUUACUCUCCCAGGAUUUUUCAAGCCAAUUCAGGAGAGAGAUCCAUUGACAAGUAACUACAAUGCAAGGCAGACUAGAUAAAAGCUGUAAUACGGAUAAUCAUCCCUUUCAUUUACUUAUCUCAGUUUAGUUUACAAAGAACUUCCAUUACCUCAUUUGAUCCUCACAAUGGCCCUGUGAGAUAGAUGUUAUUAUCUUCAUUUUAGAGUUAUGGAAAGCCAAAG
Molecule: long non-coding RNA, 1440 nt
Filed under: Aotus nancymaae (Ma's night monkey)
Lineage: Eukaryota; Metazoa; Chordata; Mammalia; Primates; Aotidae
Description: lncRNA (ENSANAG00000038643.1)
Source: RNAcentral